UCGCUUUCGUCUCUCUAUUUCUUCCACUUCUGCUGUCUUCUUGUUGUAUUGUAACUUGUAAAGCUUUUGAUAUAUCUCUUUUCUCUACUCUCCUAUACUUCCCAUCUAUUUGUAUGAUUAAAAUGAGCAAGGUGGUGGGUUUCAUAUUCCCUCCAACUGAUGAAGAAAUCAUCAUGCACUUUCCUAGAUGAAACAAGCGGUAUUUGGACUAACAAUUCUGGAAGUCAUGGUGCAUACAAUAUUGAUCCACUGAUUUGGCCUUUAAAUCGUGGGAAUCAUGAAGCACAGAACAUUGGUUCACCGGUAAACCGCUGUGAGCUUCCAAUGGAAGUAGAUGUCUAAUGACAGAUCUAAUGGCUGGACUUUUCAAUUAGAAACGAGUGAGCAGGAUGACGACUUUAUCAAUUAACUUUUGUCUGACGGUGUUCUACUUUACGAAGAAACUAUUCACACCCGUCCUCAUGGUGUCAACCGAACAAUUUCAGUGAGAGAUUGAGAAAUUCUGCCAUUAGUUAUUGGAAAAUAUAUUCUAUCAGUAUAUUUUUUAACUGAAAGCUAGUUUUACAGAAGGAUUUUAUUAGCAUCAUGGGUCUUGAAAGAUCUUAAAAUUUGAGAUAUGUUGACAUAUUUUACUGCUACCAUAGUUUUUGGGAAUAUUUACAUAUUUCUAUACCUUGUUGAUGUAGGGAAUUUUGAGGAUUAAUUUGUCCCUUCAAAUUUAUGUGUAACAGUUUGGGUAUGGUGGUUUGAAAGAAUACCAACAAAUGCAAGAAGGUUUAAUCACCUACUGUAACUCCAUCUUCUUCCAAGCUUCGCCAAAAUACAAAUGGAGAAAGUAGUUUAUAUGAUGAUAACUGGUAUCAACAUCCAACUCAAACAGAAAUGCCCAAUAGAAUUAAUUUGGUCUGUAUGUGCCUUACCUUCUGGCUUCAAAGCUUGCAAAGCUCAACCUAAACCAAAAUCCCACAACUUGGUAGAAAAGGCAUGUGCUCCUAGAAUACUCCAAUCACAUGAUGAAAGUCCACGCACAGCCAUAACAGUAUACAGAGACAGGGUAAUGAUGCCACUUCACACACUGUUACAUGAGGUAGUCUUAUCUUCAUGAUUUCUUCUUGCAGGCGAUAGGAGUUGAAGAGCCUGCUAUUAAUCUGCCUCAAAAAAGAAACCCUACUGUGAAGCUGCACAAAGAUCAGAAAAUAGCGGAAACAACUAAAGCAAAAACAAAUUUGAAGUCAAGAUUUUCAACGUCUGAUGGCUGCUAUAGAAAUGGCUCCAUCUUUAUGGAGACUUCUUUGUUAAACCGUGGACAAAUCCCACCAUCUAUAUGCAUUAGGAACGCAGUUGUAAGUGCAGUUUUAUCGAUAUUUUGUAUCUGGGAGAUGGUGUCUCUUCACAAGUGUGACCCAUGCAUGUUCUCUUUCAUAUUAAAUGACAUUUACUGAUACGAUCUAAACUUA
Long non-coding RNA from Mangifera indica (mango), 1457 nucleotides. RefSeq lists it as uncharacterized. NCBI's taxonomy places the organism in Eukaryota, Viridiplantae, Streptophyta, Magnoliopsida, Sapindales, Anacardiaceae. The transcript is spliced from 2 exons. The record is from RefSeq and is a predicted model, not a curated record.